UACGUAGGGUGCGAGCGUUGCCCGGAUUUAUUGGGCGUAAAGGGUGCGUAGGUGGCGCCGUAAGUCGGGUGUGAAAUUUCGGAGCUUAACUCCGAAACUGCAUUCGAUACUGCGGUGCUUGAGGACUGGAGAGGAGACUGGAAUUCAUGGUGUAGCAGUGAAAUGCGUAGAGAUCAUGAGGAAGACCAGUGGCGAAGGCGGGUCUCUGGACAGUUCCUGACACUGAGACACGAAGGCCAGGGGAGCAAACGGG
This 253-nucleotide ribosomal RNA is filed under the name uncultured bacterium. RNAcentral's name for it is "partial 16S ribosomal RNA". It matches the Rfam family "Bacterial small subunit ribosomal RNA", at positions 524 to 776 of the family's 1533-position model. The record is from RNAcentral.